RNAcentral lists this ribosomal RNA (835 nucleotides) under uncultured Burkholderia sp. RNAcentral's name for it is "bacterial SSU rRNA". It matches the Rfam family "Bacterial small subunit ribosomal RNA", at positions 94 to 926 of the family's 1533-position model. The record is from RNAcentral. Lineage: Bacteria; Pseudomonadati; Pseudomonadota; Betaproteobacteria; Burkholderiales; Burkholderiaceae.
AGUGGCGAACGGGUGAGUAAUACAUCGGAACAUGUCCUGUAGUGGGGGAUAGCCCGGCGAAAGCCGGAUUAAUACCGCAUACGAUCUGAGGAUGAAAGCGGGGGACCUUCGGGCCUCGCGCUAUAGGGUUGGCCGAUGGCUGAUUAGCUAGUUGGUGGGGUAAAGGCCUACCAAGGCGACGAUCAGUAGCUGGUCUGAGAGGACGACCAGCCACACUGGGACUGAGACACGGCCCAGACUCCUACGGGAGGCAGCAGUGGGGAAUUUUGGACAAUGGGCGAAAGCCUGAUCCAGCAAUGCCGCGUGUGUGAAGAAGGCCUUCGGGUUGUAAAGCACUUUUGUCCGGAAAGAAAUCCUUGGUUCUAAUAUAGCCGGGGGAUGACGGUACCGGAAGAAUAAGCACCGGCUAACUACGUGCCAGCAGCCGCGGUAAUACGUAGGGUGCAAGCGUUAAUCGGAAUUACUGGGCGUAAAGCGUGCGCAGGCGGUUUGCUAAGACCGAUGUGAAAUCCCCGGGCUCAACCUGGGAACUGCAUUGGUGACUGGCAGGCUAGAGUAUGGCAGAGGGGGGUAGAAUUCCACGUGUAGCAGUGAAAUGCGUAGAGAUGUGGAGGAAUACCGAUGGCGAANGCAGCCCCAUGGGCCAAUACUGACGCUCAUGCACGAAAGCGUGGGGGGCAAACAGGAUUAGAUACCCUGGUAGUCCACGCCCUAAACGAUGUCAACUAGUUGUUGGGGNUUCAUUUCCUUAGUAACGUANCUNACGCGUGAAGUUGACCGCCUGGGGAGUACGGUCGCAAGAUUAAAACUCAAAGGAAUUGACGGGGACCCGCAC